UACGUAGGGUGCGAGCGUUAAUCGGAAUUACUGGGCGUAAAGGGUGCGCAGGCGGUUAUAUAAGACAGAUGUGAAAUCCCCGGGCUCAACCUGGGAACUGCGUUUGUGACUGUAUGACUAGAGUACGGUAGAGAGGGGUGGAAUUCCUGGUGUAGCAGUGAAAUGCGUAGAUAUCAGGAGGAACAUCGAUGGCGAAGGCAGCCCCUUGACCUGUACUGACGCUCAUGCACGAAAGCGUGGGGAGCAAACAGG
This 252-nucleotide ribosomal RNA is filed under the name uncultured bacterium. RNAcentral describes it as "partial 16S ribosomal RNA". It matches the Rfam family "Bacterial small subunit ribosomal RNA", at positions 524 to 776 of the family's 1533-position model. The record is from RNAcentral.